AGGACGAACGCUGGCGGCGUGCUUAACACAUGCAAGUCGAGCGGUAAGGCCCUUUCGGGGGUACACGAGCGGCGAACGGGUGAGUAACGCGUGAGUAAUCUGCCCUCCACUUGGGGAUAAGCUUCGGAAACGGGGUCUAAUACCUGAUACGACAACUACCUGCAUGGGUUGGUUGUGGAAAGUUUUUUCGGUGGGGGAUGUGCUCGCGGCCUAUCAGCUUGUUGGUGGGGUAAUGGCCUACCAAGGCUUCGACGGGUAGCCGGCCUGAGAGGGUGACCGGCCACACUGGGACUGAGACACGGCCCAGACUCCUACGGGAGGCAGCAGUGGGGAAUAUGGACAAUGGGCGGAAGCCUGAUCCAGCAACGCCGCGUGAGGGAUGGACGGCCUUCGGGUUGUAAACCUCUUUCAGUACCGACGAAGCGCCCGUUGUGGUGGUGACGGUAGGUACAGAAGAAGCACCGGCCAACUACGUACCAGCAGCCGC
RNAcentral lists this ribosomal RNA (487 nucleotides) under uncultured soil bacterium. RNAcentral's name for it is "bacterial SSU rRNA". It matches the Rfam family "Bacterial small subunit ribosomal RNA", at positions 26 to 518 of the family's 1533-position model. The record is from RNAcentral.